GAGUUUGAUCUUGGCUCAGAAUGAACGCUGGCGGCAUGCCUAACACAUGCAAGUCGAACGAAGGCUUCGGCCUUAGUGGCGCACGGGUGCGUAACGCGUGGGAAUCUGCCCCUUGGUUCGGAAUAACAGUUGGAAACGACUGCUAAUACCGGAUGAUGACGUAAGUCCAAAGAUUUAUCGCCGAGGGAUGAGCCCGCGUAGGAUUAGGUAGUUGGUGUGGUAAAGGCGCACCAAGCCGACGAUCCUUAGCUGGUCUGAGAGGAUGAUCAGCCACACUGGGACUGAGACACGGCCCAGACUCCUACGGGAGGCAGCAGUGGGGAAUAUUGGACAAUGGGCGAAAGCCUGAUCCAGCAAUGCCGCGUGAGUGAUGAAGGCCUUAGGGUUGUAAAGCUCUUUUACCCGGGAUGAUAAUGACAGUACCGGGAGAAUAAGCUCCGGCUAACUCCGUGCCAGCCGCCGCCGUAAG
This 469-nucleotide ribosomal RNA is filed under the name uncultured bacterium. RNAcentral's name for it is "bacterial SSU rRNA". It matches the Rfam family "Bacterial small subunit ribosomal RNA", at positions 9 to 524 of the family's 1533-position model. The record is from RNAcentral.